UAACGCGCGAGGAACCUGCCUUCCAGAGGGGGACAACAGUUGGAAACGACUGCUAAUACCGCAUGAUGCGUUGGAGCCGCAUGACUCCGACGUCAAAGAUUUAUCGCUGGAAGAUGGCCUCGCGUCUGAUUAGCUAGUUGGUGAGGUAACGGCCCACCAAGGCGACGAUCAGUAGCCGGCCUGAGAGGGUGAACGGCCACAUUGGGACUGAGACACGGCCCAAACUCCUACGGAAGGCAGCAG
Molecule: ribosomal RNA, 243 nt
Filed under: uncultured bacterium
Lineage: Bacteria
Description: partial 16S ribosomal RNA
Rfam family: Bacterial small subunit ribosomal RNA
Source: RNAcentral